RNAcentral lists this long non-coding RNA (397 nucleotides) under Mytilus galloprovincialis (Mediterranean mussel). Lineage: Eukaryota; Metazoa; Mollusca; Bivalvia; Mytilida; Mytilidae. The record is from RNAcentral.
CAUUUUUCCACCAAAGGGAGAUAAUUUGGAACUUUUUCAAUGAUAUUUACAUUUUAAAAGUCAUCUGGGGCCAACACGAAUUAAUUGUUUUGAAUGUUUUUUGUAUGAUAAAGUAACAACUACAAAAGGUAAUAAAUAAAAUUUGUAAUGAAAAACAAAUGUUUAAUUUUUUUCUGAAAUUUUUAUACCCUCGAGCCUCCUUAAGUGAAAAAUUUAUUGUUGAUCAGUGAAAUUCAAUUACUCACAUAAACUAGUUUAGACAUUGAAAAUCAAGAAAGUACAACCAACAAAAAUAUCCAUGUUAACAGGUCAAUGAGACAGCAACACAGUCUCAUAAAUACUAAAAUAUCUGCUUCUCUUCAUCUGACGUUAUUCAUGCAAAAAAUAUAGGUUUAAG